AGGUGAAUGAAUACCCAGUCGAUGUGUUUUAAUUUGCCAUCACCGGGUAUACAUUCAUCCGC
This 62-nucleotide microRNA precursor is filed under the name Ixodes scapularis (black-legged tick). RNAcentral's name for it is "Isc-Mir-36_pre stem-loop". Lineage: Eukaryota; Metazoa; Arthropoda; Arachnida; Ixodida; Ixodidae. The record is from RNAcentral.